UCAAAAUCUCAUAUCAAGGCCUGUUGAAAACUCCAACCCAACUUGACCCAACAAGCUGAUUGGUCUGCAGAGGUUAGAGUGGAGCCCAUCCCGAGUCACACCAGCAGCAGGCAGUUGGCCCGUUCCAACUUGGUCCCGGUUCACCUGGAUGAAACCGGAGUGGAAACUGGGUAUCGACUUCAAACAUCGGUUAUCUCUCUCCUGUCUGAGUAUGUUGCAAUUCGUUGUUCUCCGCGGCUCGAACACUUGUUCGAUGCCCACCUACCGUUCGAUCCAAUUCUUCACAGGCCUAAUUGGGCUCCUCCGCCCCCCUCCCUCACCACCUUCCCCUCCGCCGGGAUGCGAGAACCCCCAAUUCGGCGGUAUCAGAGGGAGUGAACAUGGAGCUCACCCUCACGAGGCCUGACGAUUGGCACCUCCACCUUCGCGAUGGCGACCUCCGACAAGCCGUCGUGCCUCAUAGGUUUAGCUUCCACGACUCAAAGUUGUAAUGGAACACAUUACUUGUUUGGAUGCAGUCAGGUUCAUUCAUUCAUCCAGUGAAGUUCUUUAGGCCAUGUUGCUGCAACUGUGACUCCACAGCAUCUUCUUCUCAAUAGAAAUUCAUUGUUUCAGAAUGGGUUGCAGCCUCACAAUUACUGCCUUCCAGUAAUGAAAAGAGAGACUCAUAGACAAGAUAUAAUAUCAGCUGUUACAAGUGGAAGCAGAAGAUAUUUUCUUGGGACUGACAGUGCUCCACAUGAGAGACGAAAAAAAAAGAAUGCCCGGGUGGAUGUGCAGGCAUAUAUAACGCUCCUGUUGCAUGGUCACUUUAUGCCAAAAUAUUCGAACAGGCUGGUGCACUUGACAAACUAGAUGUAUUUACAAGCUUCAACGGCCCAGAUUUCUAAGGACUACCAAGAAACAUAUCAAAGAUUGUACUGCAAAAGAGUGCAUGGAGAGUGCUAGAAUCCUAUGCAUAUGCCUAUGGUGAAAUAGUCCCUAUGUUGGCAGGACAGACUCUUGGAUGGCUUCCAUCAAACAGUUGAAGACUGCAAAGUGGUUUUUGUCUCAAUUGAGAGGAAACAGAUGCAUAUUUUUAUUAUAAUUAUUACUGUAGCUGAUCAAUGGCAUUGAGGGGCUGAGUUCACUCACAUUUUUGUCUACACUUUUUUGAAGAAUUCGUUGAUGUUUUUGUGUCAAAAUAAUUUGUAACUUAUUGCUCAAAAAUAAAAUCUA
This is a non-coding RNA of Elaeis guineensis (African oil palm), 1218 nucleotides long. Lineage: Eukaryota; Viridiplantae; Streptophyta; Magnoliopsida; Arecales; Arecaceae. The record is from RefSeq and is a predicted model, not a curated record.